This is a long non-coding RNA of Brienomyrus brachyistius, 1649 nucleotides long. RefSeq lists it as uncharacterized. The transcript is spliced from 3 exons. The record is from RefSeq and is a predicted model, not a curated record. Lineage: Eukaryota; Metazoa; Chordata; Actinopteri; Osteoglossiformes; Mormyridae.
CGGUGCUGACGUCGUCUCCGCGAGCUUUUGACGGGAUUAAUUAUUCUCAGUCACGCUUGUGCGGACGAUGAGAGCCAAGCGCGAGACAAGUUUCUAAUAAAGCGGCAGAAACGUGUGGAAUGGCUGAGGUGCCUGAGGACAGAUUUGGGAACUGAAGCGAUGUUCAUCUCCGUCGAAGAAGAUGAGGAACUUUCUGGAGAACAGAAGACAUUCUGGUUUUUAUUGUGUUACUGUUCAUUUUCAUACGUUCUAAUGUUAAAUUGUUUUUUUUUUCUAAGCAAAAGUACACUUACUACCCAGAUAAAAACCUUCAAACAUUACCUUUGACUGCCUACAAGUUUUGCACAGUUCUGUAUAUGGUUGAUUAUUAAGUAAUAAAUGCUUAGUGAAUCAGAUAAUGAGAUGCGUUUUGCAUUUAAAUGCCAAUGCUUGUGAGGGCCCUCUCAGUCUGUCCAUAACCACCUGUUGCAUUAUGGGUGAUGCUGUAAGUUUCCAAUUUCCACCGCGAGCCGAUUACAUGUGCAGCGCCAAAUAGGGGCGGAAUGCUUUCAUAUUUCAUUAAAUAUUAGGUUCCAGUUUAGUGCCCAAACAUAAUCAUUUUAACAACGUAUGCAGGCAAUGUAUACAAAUAUAUUUAACACAAAUAGUAAUGUAGUGAUUGAUCACAGAGGAUCGUCUUACUUUAAAGUAUCAUCUAAAGGCAGUUUCUGUUUACUUCCAAAAACAGGCUUAUUUACAGCUGCUAGUUCAAGAUAAUCUGAUGUAAUAAGGAAAGUUAAGGUCUUUCGUGCAUAAUCUUUCAUAACAGAAUGAGGAGCAAGGAGUUCUUGGUCAUCAGAUGUGUUAAUCAUGGAUUCAGUAAGCAGCCUUCAGCGAUGCCACCAAAUAGCGACUUCAAAGGCGCAACUAAUGACGCUAAUCAUCAAUGACAGAAGACACUUUAAAAGACACACGACAAAGUGGCACUGAUCCCCUCCCAGCGUAUCGGUGUCCUCCCAGCUCCAUAAACAGUCAUCUGAAGAGGAGACUCUUACACGGCAAGCCAUCUGCCAGUCCCGUCUGUCCCGGCCCUCUGGCCCAAAGGCGGACCGCCCCGGCAUCCUCCCUCGCCUGCCCCCCGGCGCUUCCCGCAUCUUCUGGAAGUUCUGGAAAUCAAUGGGGAACUUUGACGCCCAUGCGGCAGAGAAGGCCGGGAAUGAUAAGCACUCACGUGGGACGGGGGCCAGGGACGAGGGGCUCCCCUGGUCUAUCCAUCGACAUCAGACAUUUCCAUGGAUGAGACCUGCCAGCCUGUUGGUGGGGGAAACAUGAGCAGUUGCCCCCAGACCGAAAAUACCCGGACGGAUCAAUGCGUGCAGCAUGUACCUAUCGAACAGUUGAAUUUAGCACCAGAAAGCUGCCAGCUGGACACGUCAGUCAGAAGCACAGCAAAUGCCUGGAACUGGCCAAACAAACAUACUCAGCCUUUCUGUUGAUCUUAUUCUGCCCUGUCGCGUGCUGGGAAGGGAAAGCCACUAAUGGCCACGUACGACUGGUCUACGAAGAGUUGGAGAUGCGCCUCUCCAGUAAUCGGCUUGAAUUACUUGACUUUGUAUGGUAUUGCUAUGCCGGUUUAACAUACAUUUGAAUAAAAAAAUAUAACACCGUUA